This 233-nucleotide ribosomal RNA is filed under the name uncultured bacterium. Its description in RNAcentral is "partial 16S ribosomal RNA". It matches the Rfam family "Bacterial small subunit ribosomal RNA", at positions 103 to 334 of the family's 1533-position model. The record is from RNAcentral.
CGGGUGAGUAACACGCGGGUGACCUGCCCUUAGCUCUGGGAUAAGCCUGGGAAACUGGGUCUAAUACCGGGAUAUGACCUCAUGACGCAUGUUGUGGGGUGGAAAAGCCUUGUGCGGCUAGGGAUGGGCCCGCGGCCUAUCAGCUUGUUGGUGGGGUGAUGGCCUACCAAGGCGACGACGGGUAGCCGGCCUGAGAGGGCGACCGGCCACACUGGGACUGAGACACGGCCCAG